GGCUGGCAGGGGAGUGGUUAGGGGGUGAUCAGGCUGGCAGGCAGAAGCGGUUAGGGGCAAUAGGAAAGCAGGCAGGCGAGCAGUUGGGAGCCAGCAGUCCUGAGAGGGAUUGUUAGAGGGAUGUACGACUGCAUGUUUAGGCCCGAUUGUACCGGGAUCGGGCCUAAACAGGCAGUUGGACAUCCCUCAAGAGGUCCCAGAUUGGAGAGGCUGGGCUGAGGGUCCCUCCUCCUCUAUCCCCGGUGCAUGAAUUUCAUGCACCGGGCCUCUACUCUAGAAAUAAUUACAGAGUCACAUGCAGCUGAAAGACAUAAUACAAGAUCCCAUGUACUAUUGCCUAGCUUCCCCCGGUGAUGACAUCUUGCAAAAUUGUAGUGUAUAGAACCAAGGUCCUGACAUUGAGAGUCAAGAUACAGAACAUUUCCAUCACCACAAGGAUUCCUCCUGUUGCCUUUCUCUCACUUCCACCCUAGAUCCUGGCAACCACUAAUCUAAUCUGCUCUCCAGUUUUAUAAUUUAUUUAUUGCAAGAAUGUUAUACAACUGGAAUCAUACAGUAUGUGACCUUUUGGCAUUGAGGGUUUUCAUUCAGCCUAAUUCCCUAGAGUAGGGAGAUUUACCCAAGUUGUUACCCAUAUGAAUAGUUUGUUCCUAUUCAUUGCACGGAUACUUUUCCACUGUAUGGAUAUAUCACACUUUAUCCCUUUAUCAGUUGAUGAAUAUUUGGGUUGUUUCCACUUUUUCGCUAUUUUGAAGAAAGCUGCGAUGCACUUUUGUGUGAACACAGGUUUCAUUUCUCUGGGAUAAAUGCCCAGUGAUAUCAUUUGAAUGAUGGCAUAAUAUUUCAUUGUAUAACAUUGUUUUUAUUGCAUGAAGUAAAUGUCAUUUAUUUAGCUUAUUAUCUCUAGAUGGAUUGUUACACCCUCUGCCCACUCCCACCCCCAGUUUUUCUGCAGUUAUAAAUAUCACUGAUGACACUUUUAUAGUUAAGUGUUGUAUGUACAUCUUUUUUUUUUUUUUUUUUGCGAUUUUUAAACUUUAUUUUUGCUGUCGCCACUAUUACAGAUGUCCCUAUUGUUCUCCCCUUUGUCCACCUCUACCUAGCCCCUGUUCAUGGGCAUCUUUUUUUUUUUUUUUAGAAAUGAAGUGGAUGCCUCAGAGUAUGCAGAAUUCUAAAGCUUUGCUUCUUUGCUUUGUUUCUCUUUUUCCUUUCAGGAAAAAAACCAAAAACCUUUUCAACUCCUGUCAGCAGUGAAUGGAAGUGCUCAUUUCUCAUACCCUUGCCAACACAGAGCAGUUACUUUCAGAGAUCUGCAGUUGUGCCAUGCCCCUGUGGGCAGCGCACACUCCCCACUUGACUGUGGGUUUACUAGUCCCACUUCACCCAGGAAAGUCUUUCAGAAUGGUAGAUGCCGCCAGGAUCUUGUGUUUGCAUGAAGUUUGGGACUCUGCUGAGGUGGUUUUGCAGAGCCUCAGAGGAUUUGUUACAUGAUGGAUAUAAAUAAUUAUAAGAAAUCACUCCAGGUCCUCACUCCUGUUCUUGUGUGACGUCUCCUAUUGUGCUGUGUCUAGAAGAAGC
Long non-coding RNA from Pipistrellus kuhlii (Kuhl's pipistrelle), 1578 nucleotides. RefSeq lists it as uncharacterized. The transcript is spliced from 2 exons. NCBI's taxonomy places the organism in Eukaryota, Metazoa, Chordata, Mammalia, Chiroptera, Vespertilionidae. The record is from RefSeq and is a predicted model, not a curated record.